AAUGAUGAAAUUAGCUUUUUUUCGUUUCUUUUUUUACUUUAGCGCCUGAAAUCGGGGGGCUUUGAGCGUAAGAAAAGAAACGAAAAAAAGCGCUUGAGCCUCCAAUGUGGAGGCUUUUUUAUU
Xenorhabdus bovienii SS-2004 is the source of this 123-nucleotide non-coding RNA. NCBI's taxonomy places the organism in Bacteria, Pseudomonadati, Pseudomonadota, Gammaproteobacteria, Enterobacterales, Morganellaceae. The record is from Rfam.